UACGGAGGGUGCAAGCGUUAUCCGGAUUCACUGGGUUUAAAGGGUGCGUAGGAGGGCAGGUAAGUCAGUGGUGAAAUCUCCAAGCUUAACUUGGAAACUGCCGUUGGUACUAUCUGUCUUGAAUGUUGUGGAGGUGAGCGGAAUAUGUCAUGUAGCGGUGAAAUGCUUAGAUAUGACAUAGAACACCGAUUGCGAAGGCAGCUCACUACACAAUUAUUGACUCUGAGGCACGAAAGCGUGGGGAUCAAACAGG
This 253-nucleotide ribosomal RNA is filed under the name uncultured bacterium. Its description in RNAcentral is "partial 16S ribosomal RNA". It matches the Rfam family "Bacterial small subunit ribosomal RNA", at positions 524 to 776 of the family's 1533-position model. The record is from RNAcentral.